Long non-coding RNA from Oncorhynchus tshawytscha (Chinook salmon), 995 nucleotides. Lineage: Eukaryota; Metazoa; Chordata; Actinopteri; Salmoniformes; Salmonidae. The record is from Ensembl.
CAAAUAGGGAAAUGGUCCCAAUCGUUUUUCCAUAGGGAAUUUAAGAAACACUUAACAUAUGGUCUGUGUUUCGUGUAGGCGUACCCUGGUGUGACCUUUUGAUAACCGUGUAAAUCUCUCUAGGACAAGGUGACUUUUAUCAAUAUAUUUACCUGCAAAAAAUGAAAUGUUAAUUAGCUGCUAAUGGGGCUAUCAUAAAGAACUGCAAAUACCAUGUGAUCUGGACAAGACUGCCAAAUCGAGGCAAUGGUGGAGCACACACCUGGAAAAAGAGAAAUAACACCCUGUCUGUGUGUACUUUCACCACCAGAGAGAGCUAUUUGUCCAGGUUUUCUGUCCACUGAUCUCUUUCAGUGAGUAGAAUGUGACGUUGAUUUGCAGUGAGAGACUUAUGGUGAGCUCCACUUUCUUAUUUUGGUACGAAUGGACAUUAUAACUCACUGCUUCUAUGUGUAGCAUAUUUCACAUUUUGCUUUCUGGUCUGUUUUUGGAAUAACAUAACUUGUUUAAUUAGCCUACAAUUAAAACAUUGCUAUCCAUGCACACACUAACUUACGGACACACACUCAGUCACGUACAAACGAAUGCACCCACACAUACUUGGGUCAAUGGUAAAGAGUUCUUCUAAGGUCAUGGCAGCAAACUGCCUUCGUUCAUGUUAGAGGGCAAAUUUGAACAAUGUCCAGUUUAUACAGUAGUAACAACAUCUCCUUUGAUAAUUGAUCAGAUUCAGCAACCAUUAGAGUUUCUACCUCUUUAAGGCAAACAGUACUAAAAUGGUGCCAAGAGUUGAUGUCCUCUCCUUCUACAGCAUCUUCUUAAUAAAUACAUUUAGCUGUGGAAGUCCAGUGCCCACACUGUUAUCAAGAAAAAUGACUCCCAUAAACCAGUGUUGGUGAUUUGGGUUUCCCAAGCCCCUCAUAAAGGAGGUAUUCUGGUCCUAGACAUUAAUUAUGGAAAUAAUAGAGCGUCACAUUUUGUUCCCUGUUCUCUGC